This 356-nucleotide ribosomal RNA is filed under the name uncultured bacterium. RNAcentral describes it as "bacterial SSU rRNA". It matches the Rfam family "Bacterial small subunit ribosomal RNA", at positions 125 to 507 of the family's 1533-position model. The record is from RNAcentral.
UCUAUCCUUGAAUGGGGGGACAACCGUGGGAAACUACGGCUAAUACCGCAUGAUGCCUGAGGGUCCAAAGACGAAAGUCGUUUUGAGGAGGAGCCUGCGUCUGAUUAGGUAGUUGGUGGGGUAAAGGCCUACCAAGCCUGCGAUCAGUAGCUGGUCUGAGAGGAUGAUCAGCCACAUUGGGACUGAGACACGGCCCAAACUCCUACGGGAGGCAGGCAGUGGGGAAUAUUGGACAAUGGGCGCAAGCCUGAUCCAGCAAUGCCGCGUGGGUGAAGAAGGGUCUUCGGGAUUGUAAAGCCCUUUUGGCGGGGACGAUGAUGACGGUACCCGCAGAAUAAGCUCCGGCUAACUUCGUG